This is a long non-coding RNA of Bufo gargarizans (Asiatic toad), 1507 nucleotides long. RefSeq lists it as uncharacterized. The record is from RefSeq and is a predicted model, not a curated record. The transcript is spliced from 3 exons. Lineage: Eukaryota; Metazoa; Chordata; Amphibia; Anura; Bufonidae.
GGCAAAGGUGGCCUCUCAGGACUGGGAAGGGCUAGUCGCCGUCGAGGAUCAAGCGAAAGGGGGGAUUCGCCUUAAAGACCACUCAAGUCUUUAAAAAAGGAGAGUUUGUCUGCGACUAUCAUGGAGUCUUGAUGGAUGGGAAAGAAGGAUAGGUGCAGCGCUCCAUCACCGACGGGAAGUGCUACAUCUACUUCUUUAGGCACGAAGAAAAAAAAAUGUGUGUGAAUGCUACGAAGGCUCACCCACUGUACCCACAAAAAAAAAUCUGCAUAUCUCUUUAACUUCACAGACCUUCAUCAAGAAAGAGGCAAAGGAGUGAAGCAGACGAAAUAUCAGAAGAAGAGCAACAGGAGGGAGAGCGAAGUGAAGUAGAAGAUCCUGAAGAAGUCGUGGCGGACGUCAGGGAAGAAUCCUUCAAGAGGCUGCUGAGAUGGUGUCCAGUGAGACUGGACCACCCACUUCCAUCACUGACGACUAGUAAAGACAUCAAUCAGCGCCAUGCUUAGUACUGUCAGGACAGAUGGCAAAGGAGACAGUACCAGAUGCCUAUAAGUGACGCCGUCGAACACUUCAGGAGCCUUCCCACGGAAGAGAUGGUUGACAUCUACAUGGAGCGACAGAGCUGGACAAGCAACCUCCCCAAAGCUUGGGAUGUUCUAAAGGCUUGGAAACCUCCGCAGUCGUGAAGAAAGCACGGACGCUUUCCGAACUUUGAGGCAAAGGUGGCCUCUCAGGACUGGGAAGGGCUAGUCGCCGUCGAGGAUCAAGCGAAAGGGGGGAUUCGCCUUAAAGACCACUCAAGUCUUUAAAAAAGGAGAGUUUGUCUGCGACUAUCAUGGAGUCUUGAUGGAUGGGAAAGAAGGAUAGGAGGUGCAGCGCUCCAUCACCGACGGGAAGUGCUACAUCUACUUCUUUAGGCACCAAGAAAUAAAAAAUGUGUGUGAAUGCUACGAAGGCUCACCCACUGUACCCACAAAAAAAAUCUGCAUAUCUCUUUAACUUCACAGACCUUCAUCAAGAAAGAGGCAAAGGAGUGAAGCAGACGAAAUAUCAGAAGAAGAGCAACAGGAGGGAGAGCGAAGUGAAGUAGAAGAUCCUGAAGAAGUCGUGGCGGACGUCAGGGAAGAAUCCUUCAAGAGGCUGCUGAGAUGGUGUCCAGUGAGACUGGACCACCCACUUCCAUCACUGACGACUUGUAAAGACAUCAAUCAGCGCCAUGCUUAGUACUGUCAGGACAGAUGGCAAAGGAGACAGUACCAGAUGCGUAUAAGUGACGCCGUCGAACACUUCAGGAGCCUUCCCACGGAAGAGAUGGUUGACAUCUACAUGGAGCGACAGAGCUGGACAAGCAACCUCCCCAAAGCUUGGGAUGUUCUAAAGGCUUGGAAACCUCCGCAGUCGUGAAGAAAGCACGGACGCUUUCCGAACUUUGAGGCAAAGGUGGCCUCUCAGGACUGGGAAGGGCUAGUCGCCGUCGAGGAUCAAGCGAAAGGGGGGAUUCGCCUUA